CAUUUCCGUUUCUCCAGUACUACGAACAUUCCUAUCAGACCGCUAUUGAUGUUCUAAAAUUAACUCUCACAACUGACAACCGCUGGUGCAUAGAGCUCAACCAUAGAGGAAGAUGGGCCACGGCGAUAAAGGCCGACCAAGCAAAAAGAUGAAGUUUUCCUCAAAGGAGGAACAUAGGUCUGUUGAAGAAGAUGAACCAUAUUACGUCGAUGGUCGGA
Molecule: long non-coding RNA, 218 nt
Organism: Ipomoea nil (Japanese morning glory)
Lineage: Eukaryota; Viridiplantae; Streptophyta; Magnoliopsida; Solanales; Convolvulaceae
Exons: 3
Source: RefSeq, a predicted model, not a curated record